UACGUAGGGUGCAAGCGUUAAUCGGAAUUACUGGGCGUAAAGCGUGCGCAGGCGGUGAUGUAAGACAGAUGUGAAAUCCCCGGGCUCAACCUGGGAACUGCAUUUGUGACUGUAGAGCUGGAGUGCGGCAGAGGGGGAUGGAAUUCCGCGUGUAGCAGUGAAAUGCGUAGAUAUGCGGAGGAACACCGAUGGCGAAGGCAAUCCCCUGGGCCUGCACUGACGCUCAUGCACGAAAGCGUGGGGAGCAAACAGG
RNAcentral lists this ribosomal RNA (253 nucleotides) under uncultured bacterium. RNAcentral describes it as "partial 16S ribosomal RNA". It matches the Rfam family "Bacterial small subunit ribosomal RNA", at positions 524 to 776 of the family's 1533-position model. The record is from RNAcentral.